Molecule: ribosomal RNA, 496 nt
Filed under: uncultured bacterium
Lineage: Bacteria
Description: partial 16S ribosomal RNA
Rfam family: Bacterial small subunit ribosomal RNA
Source: RNAcentral
AUGAACGCUGGCGGCGUGCCUCAUACAUGCAAGUCGCGCGCACAGACGAGGAGCUUGCUCCUCUGACGUUAGCGGCGGACGGGUGAGUAACACGUGGAUAACCUACCUAUAAGACUGGGAUAACUUCGGGAAACCGGAGCUAAUACCGGAUAAUAUAUUGAACCGCAUGGUUCAAUAGUGAAAGACGGUUUUGCUGUCACUUAUAGAUGGAUCCGCGCCGCAUUAGCUAGUUGGUAAGGUAACGGCUUACCAAGGCAACGAUGCGUAGCCGACCUGAGAGGGUGAUCGGCCACACUGGAACUGAGACACGGUCCAGACUCCUACGGGAGGCAGCAGUAGGGAAUCUUCCGCAAUGGGCGAAAGCCUGACGGAGCAACGCCGCGUGAGUGAUGAAGGUCUUCGGAUCGUAAAACUCUGUUAUUAGGGAAGAACAAAUGUGUAAGUAACUAUGCACGUCUUGACGGUACCUAAUCAGAAAGCCACGGCUAACUACGUG